GACGAACGCUGGCGGCGUGCUUAACACAUGCAAGUCGAACGGUGAUGCUCCAGCUUGCUGGAGUGGAUCAGUGGCGAACGGGUGAGUAACACGUGAGCAACCUGCCCCAGACUCUGGAAUAAGCGCUGGAAACGGCGUCUAAUACUGGAUACGAAACUGGCCCGCAUGGGCAUGGUUUGGAAAGUUUUUCGGUUUGGCAUGGGCUCGCGGCCUAUCAGCUUGUUGGUGAGGUAAUGGCUCACCAAGGCGACGACGGGUAGCCGGCCUGAGAGGGCGACCGGCCACACUGGGACUGAGACACGGCCCAGACUCCUACGGGAGGCAGCAGUGGGGAAUAUUGCACAAUGGGCGAAAGCCUGAUGCAGCGACGCCGCGUGAGGGAUGACGGCCUUCGGGUUGUAAACCUCUUUCAGCAGGGAAGAAGCGAAAGUGACGGUACCUGCAGAAGAAGCACCGGCUAACUACGUG
Molecule: ribosomal RNA, 468 nt
Filed under: uncultured bacterium
Lineage: Bacteria
Description: partial 16S ribosomal RNA
Rfam family: Bacterial small subunit ribosomal RNA
Source: RNAcentral